RNAcentral lists this transfer RNA (77 nucleotides) under Clostridiales bacterium. RNAcentral describes it as "tRNA-Arg". It matches the Rfam family "tRNA". From Rfam's summary of the family: Transfer RNA (tRNA) molecules are approximately 80 nucleotides in length. The record is from RNAcentral. Lineage: Bacteria; Bacillati; Bacillota; Clostridia; Eubacteriales. RNAcentral also lists the same sequence under 2 other names.
GCGUCCAUAGCUCAGUUGGAUAGAGUGUUCGGCUACGAACCGAAAGGUCGGGGGUUCGAAUCCCUCUGGGCGCACCA